RNAcentral lists this non-coding RNA (936 nucleotides) under Trichomonas vaginalis G3. RNAcentral's name for it is "Eukaryotic large subunit ribosomal RNA". It matches the Rfam family "Eukaryotic large subunit ribosomal RNA", at positions 183 to 1398 of the family's 3401-position model. Lineage: Eukaryota; Parabasalia; Trichomonadida; Trichomonadidae. The record is from Rfam by way of RNAcentral.
AAGUCAGAUGGAAUGCUGCGCGAUUCAGAGUAAAAGCCUCGUAUGACCAACCCGCAAGCUUACGAUGGACCGGGGAGAGUCGGAUACUUUGAGAGUAGUGUCUUAAGGGGGUGGUAUGUCCCAUCCAAGGCUAAAUAACGUGAGGAGACCGAUAGAUUACAAGUAGUGUGAACGAAAGAUGAAAAGAACUCUAAAACAGAGGGUGAAAAGUUCCUGAACUUGCUUAGGGUUAAGGCUAUUUAUAGUACCCGUCUUGAAACACGGAUUAGGGAGUUUAUCUGUAGUGCGAGUCUUUGCACGUUAACUGUAAAGGCGUAGAGAAAGCAACUGGCGUUUGCAUGGCUACUGAGCAUUACUGAUAGGACCCGAAAGGUGGUGAACUUUGCCUGCACAGGUUGAAGUCAGGGGAAACUCUGAUGGAGGACCGUACGGGUUAUUGAUGUGCAAAUCAUUUUUCUGAUGUAGGUAAAGGUGCGAAAGACUCAUCGAACCACCUAAUAGCUGGUUUCCUCCGAAGUUUCCCUCAGGAUAGCUGUAAUGCAUUUAGUUAAGGGGAGUAGAGAUAUGGGUAGAGGUGCAGGGAGCCUUCGGGUUCUCAACUUAUUUCCAAACUUCGAACCUCCUUGUUAGGCAUUUACCUAACUGGAAAUGCUUAAAUGAAUUAGCGUUACAAGUGGGCUCUGACCGGUAAGCGGUCAUGGCGAAAUGGGAUGAACCAUACGUCUGAAUAAGGUGCCGAAAUGUACUAUCACUGAUACCAUAAAGGGAGUCCAUGUAUUUAGACAGCAGGUCGGUGCCCCUAAAAGCAGGUAUCCGCUAAAGAGUGUGUUAAAACUCACCUGCCGAAUACUAGGGCCCCGAAAAUGAAUGGCGCAUAUAGUACUACCGAUCUCAGACAUCAGUUCUAUUGAACUGAGAGUAGGGGGAUGUGGACAU